GGGGGUGUACUUGGUUUCGACGGGGGUAAGGUGCUCCUAGGAAGCGAGUCGAAGGGCUGGACCUUCGUUAAAAAACUGGAACAAAAAUAAACGACGAAAAUUAUUUAUUAGCAGCUUAAUUUAAGCUGUCAUCUUGCCCAGGGUGCCCACGCUUUGGGGUCAAGGUGUCAAUUUAGUGGGGAACCGAGUCUAUCAAAGCUUUGAGGUAGAAACGGAAUUUAUGAAGCUACCAAUUCAGUAGCCUGUUAGUGGGCGCCUGAGGCGGGAAAUUUAAAUCACUGACUGCACUCGGAGAUGCCUAGUGGUUUCUGCUUUCGGACAGGGGUUCGACACCCCUCACCUCCACCA
Molecule: non-coding RNA, 348 nt
Organism: Clostridium cellulovorans 743B
Lineage: Bacteria; Bacillati; Bacillota; Clostridia; Eubacteriales; Clostridiaceae
Rfam family: transfer-messenger RNA
About the family: Bacterial tmRNA, also known as 10Sa RNA or SsrA, is named for its dual tRNA and mRNA-like properties. Its role is to liberate the mRNA from a stalled ribosome.
Source: Rfam